Molecule: ribosomal RNA, 442 nt
Filed under: uncultured bacterium
Lineage: Bacteria
Description: partial 16S ribosomal RNA
Rfam family: Bacterial small subunit ribosomal RNA
Source: RNAcentral
CCUACGGGAGGCAGCAGUGGGGAAUAUUGCGCAAUGGGCGAAAGCCUGACGCAGCGACGCCGCGUGAGGGAUGAAGGUCUUCGGGUCGUAAAGCUCUGUCCUAAGGGAAGAAGGAAGUGACGGUACCUUAGGAGGAAGCCCCGGCUAACUACGUGCCAGCAGCCGCGGUAAUACGUAGGGGGCAAGCGUUAUCCGGAAUUAUUGGGCGUAAAGAGUACGUAGGCGGUUCUUUAAGCGCAGGGUUUAAGGCGAUAGCUUAACUAUCGUUCGCCCUGUGAACUGGGGGACUUGAGUAUCGGAGAGGAAAGCGGAAUUCCUAGUGUAGCGGUGAAAUGCGUAGAUAUUAGGAGGAACACCAGUGGCGAAGGCGGCUUUCUGGACGAAAACUGACGCUGAGGUACGAAAGCGUGGGGAGCAAACAGGAUUAGAUACCCUGGUAGUC